RNAcentral lists this ribosomal RNA (455 nucleotides) under uncultured Sphingobacteriales bacterium. RNAcentral describes it as "bacterial SSU rRNA". It matches the Rfam family "Bacterial small subunit ribosomal RNA", at positions 929 to 1382 of the family's 1533-position model. Lineage: Bacteria; Pseudomonadati; Bacteroidota; Sphingobacteriia; Sphingobacteriales. The record is from RNAcentral.
GCGGAGGAACAUGUGGUUUUAAUUCGAUGAUACGCGAGGAACCUUACCGUGGGACUUUAAAUGGGGAGUGACAGCUGUCGAAAGAUGGUUUUCUUCGGACACUCUUCAAGGUGCUGCAUGGUUGUCGUCAGCUCGUGCCGUGAGGUGUCGGGUUAAGUCCCAUAACGAGCGCAACCCUUACCGUUAGUUACCAUCAGGUUAAGCUGGGGACUCUAGCGGGACUGCCACCGUAAGGUGAGAGGAAGGUGGGGAUGACGUCAAAUCAGCACGGCCCUUAUGUCCAGGGCUACACACGUGUUACAAUGGCCGGUACAAAGGGCAGCUACUUCGCGAGAAGAUGCUAAUCUCGAAAGCCGGUCUCAGUUCGGAUCGAAGUCUGCAACCCGACUUCGUGAAGCUGGAUUCGCUAGUAAUCGCGCAUCAGCCAUGGCGCGGUGAAUACGUUCCCGGGCCUU